GGGCGGGCUGAUGUCUGGGGCCGUUCUAUGGGGCUGACAUGUGGGGCCAUUCUAUGGGGCAGUUCUAUGGGGCUGACAUGGGUCAUUUCUAUGGGGCUGAAGUGGGGCCAUUCUAUGGGGCAGGCCGUUCUAUGGGGCAGGCCGUUCUAUGGGGCUGAUGUGGGGCCGUUCUGUGGGGCAGGCUGGAUGCAUCGCGCGGUGGAGCCGCUGGGGGGCCGUGCGGGACGCGAGGCGUUCGCCGUGGGGCACAGCGGCUGCAGCGGGGGCUGGGGCUGCCCCACGCGCCCAUGGCUGCCCAACAACAGGUGAGCGCCGCCCCAUAGCGCCCCAUAGCGCCCCAUGGGGGAUGGGGACCCAUAGGGAUGCAUGGGGACCCAUAGGGACCCAUAGGGGCCCAUAGGGACCCAUAGGGGGACGGGGACCCAUAGAGGACCCAUAGAGACCCAUAGGGACCCAUAGGGACCCAUAGGGACCCAUAGGGGGACACGGGGACCCAUAGGCACCCAUAGAGACCCAUAGAGACCCAUAGCACCCCAUAGGGGGACAUGGGGACCCAUAGCGACCCAUAGGGACCCAUAGAGACCCAUAGGGACCCAUAGGCGGAUGGGGACCCAUAGGGACCCAUAGGGACCCAUAGGGACCCAUAGAGACUCAUAGCACCCCAUAGGGGGACAUGGGGACCCAUAGGGACCCAUAGGGG
Molecule: long non-coding RNA, 700 nt
Filed under: Phasianus colchicus (ring-necked pheasant)
Lineage: Eukaryota; Metazoa; Chordata; Aves; Galliformes; Phasianidae
Description: lncRNA (ENSPCLG00000018239.1)
Source: RNAcentral